Acanthosepion pharaonis is the source of this 71-nucleotide non-coding RNA. The record is from the annotation of a GenBank genome assembly. NCBI's taxonomy places the organism in Eukaryota, Metazoa, Mollusca, Cephalopoda, Sepiida, Sepiidae.
UCCGUAGUUAAGCAACGUCGAGCCUGGCUAGUACCUAGAUGGGUGACCGCUUGGGAAUACCAGGUAUUGUU